UUAGAAUGGUUUAUUCUAAGUGGCGAUACUCUUUAUGGUGGAGUGUGACAGGUGUUCAGCAAUGUGGAGUAUGACGGAUAGCUGCUGCUAUGAUCAUUUUUAAUCAAGGUGGAGUUUGUUGGGAUUUUGCUUAAAAAUGAAUGGUCAUUGUCCCACAUUGGAAAAAUGUUGAAGAGUAGCUUGGAGGCUUGCCUGUAUAAGGGGGCUUAAGUUAUGUUUUCAAAUGUACCA
Molecule: long non-coding RNA, 231 nt
Filed under: Nicotiana benthamiana
Lineage: Eukaryota; Viridiplantae; Streptophyta; Magnoliopsida; Solanales; Solanaceae
Description: long non-coding RNA (NBEN_LNC017544)
Source: RNAcentral